RNAcentral lists this small RNA (468 nucleotides) under uncultured Glomus. RNAcentral describes it as "SSU rRNA". It matches the Rfam family "Eukaryotic small subunit ribosomal RNA", at positions 569 to 1042 of the family's 1831-position model. The record is from RNAcentral. Lineage: Eukaryota; Fungi; Glomeromycota; Glomeromycetes; Glomerales; Glomeraceae.
AGCAGCCGCGGUAAUUCCAGCUCCAAUAGCGUAUAUUAAAGUUGUUGCAGUUAAAAAGCUCGUAGUUGAAUUUCGGGAUCAAUACGUCUGUCGUGCCUUUGGUACGUACGGGUGUAAUUGGUUUCUACCUUCUGAGGAUCCUUGAUGUCAUUAAUUUGGUGUCUUGGGGAAUCAGGACUGUUACCUUGAAAAAUUAGAGUGUUUAAAGCAGGCAUACGCUUGAAUACAUUAGCAUGGAAUAAUGAAAUAGGACGUUCGAUUCUAUUUUGUUGGUUUCUAGGAUCGACGUAAUGAUUAAUAGGGAUAGUUGGGGGCAUUAGUAUUCAAUUGUCAGAGGUGAAAUUCUUGGAUUUAUUGAAGACUAACUACUGCGAAAGCAUUUGCCAAGGAUGUUUUCAUUAAUCAAGAACGAAAGUUAGGGGAUCGAAGACGAUCAGAUACCGUCGUAGUCUUAACCAUAAACUAUGC